RNAcentral lists this ribosomal RNA (254 nucleotides) under uncultured bacterium. Its description in RNAcentral is "partial 16S ribosomal RNA". It matches the Rfam family "Bacterial small subunit ribosomal RNA", at positions 524 to 776 of the family's 1533-position model. The record is from RNAcentral.
UACAGAGGGUGCGAGCGUUGAUCGGAGUUACUGGGCGUAAAGGGCGCGUAGGCGGUCGUGUGAGUGUGAUGUGAAAGCCCCCGGGCUUAACCUGGGAAGAGCAUCGCAAACGACACGACUGGAGUAGAUGAGAGGGUGGUGGAAUUUCCGGUGUAGCGGUGAAAUGCGUAGAGAUCGGAAGGAACGUCAAUGGCGAAGGCAGCCACCUGGCAUCAUACUGACGCUGAGGCGCGAAAGCGUGGGGAGCGAACAGG